This is a transfer RNA of 90 nucleotides. It matches the Rfam family "tRNA". From Rfam's summary of the family: Transfer RNA (tRNA) molecules are approximately 80 nucleotides in length.
GGAGAGGUGGCUGAGAGGCCGAAAGCACCAGUUUGCUAAACUGGCAUACGGGAAACUGUAUCGCGGGUUCGAAUCCCGCCCUCUCCGCCA